CACUGAUCCCAUAAGAGUUACAGUGGGGGAGGUGGGAAUGGCCAAUGAAGAUAUUACUCAGGUUGUUCAAGUAAUUCCUUCUGAUGCAGAGAAGUUGCCUUGGCUUCUUGAAAAACUACCUGGAAUGAUUGAUGAUGGUGAUGUUCUAGUUUUUGCUUCUAAAAAAGCUACUGUUGAUGAGAUUGAAUCACAAUUGGUGCAGAAGGGAUUUAAAGUUGCAGCUCUUCAUGGUGACAAAGACCAGGCUUCUCGGAUGGAUACUUUGCAAAAAUUUAAAU
RNAcentral lists this unclassified non-coding RNA (278 nucleotides) under Hevea brasiliensis (rubber tree). Lineage: Eukaryota; Viridiplantae; Streptophyta; Magnoliopsida; Malpighiales; Euphorbiaceae. The record is from RNAcentral.